This 471-nucleotide long non-coding RNA is filed under the name Coffea arabica (coffee). RNAcentral's name for it is "long non-coding RNA (CARA_LNC002947)". The record is from RNAcentral. Lineage: Eukaryota; Viridiplantae; Streptophyta; Magnoliopsida; Gentianales; Rubiaceae.
AACGAAUCAAUCUCAUAUGUGCACUCCACAAACGAACCUCCAUUUGCUAGCUCAUUUCCCCUCCAUACAACAUGCACAUCCUUUAAAUCUUAUGCUGGAUAGAAUGUGAAAAAUCACACUUGAAGAACAGGUGAUCAAUGGAUUCUGGAGCAGCAGAGUCACACAAAACACAUAGUGCUGAUGCAUUCUGCACUCCCCAUCUACACUGCCUAUCCUUUGUCAUCAGCUUCCCUUAAAUUGCCAUCCACAGGAUGAAAGCAAACAUAGGAACAGAUCCUUUGCCCCGACCAAGUUUAUAUCAUUCCAUCUUCAGUCCAGAAGAAAAAAGCUUCUUCAUUGCAGACCUUACAAAAAAGUCACCCGUAGGGGAGCCUAACCAGUCAACAUGAUCCUCCCUGUGCAAAUGCUGUAAGAGAGGAGGAGGAGCGUCAUCUUGGAAUUCAUUGACUUGAGAGUUACACCUCCUACCCU